RNAcentral lists this ribosomal RNA (419 nucleotides) under uncultured bacterium. RNAcentral describes it as "bacterial SSU rRNA". It matches the Rfam family "Bacterial small subunit ribosomal RNA", at positions 355 to 772 of the family's 1533-position model. The record is from RNAcentral.
UAGGGAAUAUUGGUCAAUGGAUGCAAGUCUGAACCAGCCAUGCCGCGUGCAGGAAGAAGGCCUUAUGGGUUGUAAACUGCUUUUGCCAGGGGAUAACAUGGGAGUGCGCCCUUAAUUGACGGUACCUGGUGAAUAAGCCACGGCUAACUACGUGCCAGCAGCCGCGGUAAUACGUAGGUGGCAAGCGUUGUCCGGAUUUAUUGGGUUUAAAGGGUGCGUAGGCGGUCUUUUAAGUCAGUGCUGAAAUACUCCAGCUUAACUGGAGGGGUGGCAUUGAUACGGGGAGACUUGAGUAUAGUUGAGGUAGGCGGAAUUGACGGUGUAGCGGUGAAAUGCUUAGAUAUCGUCAAGAACACCGAUAGUGAAGACAGCUUACUAAACUAUAACUGACGCUGAGGCACGAAAGUGUGGGGAUCAAA